RNAcentral lists this ribosomal RNA (1454 nucleotides) under uncultured archaeon. RNAcentral's name for it is "bacterial SSU rRNA". It matches the Rfam family "Archaeal small subunit ribosomal RNA". The record is from RNAcentral.
UUCCGGUUGAUCCCGCCGGAGGCCACUGCUAUCGGGGUCCGACUAAGCCAUGCGAGUCAAGGGGGUGUCCCUCUGGGACACCACCGGCGGACGGUUCAGUAACACGUCGGUAACCUACCCUCGGGAGGGGGAUAACCCCGGGAAACUGGGGCUAAUCCCCCAUAGGCCUGAGGUACUGGAAGGUCCUCAGGCCGAAAGGGGCUCUUGCCCGCCCGAGGAUGGGCCGGCGGCCGAUUAGGUAGUUGGUGGGGUAACGGCCCACCAAGCCGAAGAUCGGUACGGGCUGUGAGAGCAAGAGCCCGGAGAUGGACACUGAGACACGGGUCCAGGCCCUACGGGGCGCAGCAGGCGCGGAACCUCCGCAAUGCGGGAAACCGCGACGGGGGGACCCCGAGUGCCGUGGCAUCGCCACGGCUUUUCCGGAGUGUAAAAAGCUCCGGGAAUAAGGGCUGGGCAAGGCCGGUGGCAGCCGCCGCGGUAUUACCGGCGGUCCGAGUGGUGGCCGCUAUUAUUGGGCCUAAAGCGUCCGUAGCCGGGUCCGUAAGUCCCUGGCGAAAUCCCACGGCUCAACCGUGGGGCUUGCUGGGCAUACUGCAGGCCUUGGCACCGGCAUAGGCUGCGGGUACCCCUGGUGUAGGGGUGUAAUCCUAUACUCCCCUCGGUACCGUCUGUGUUCAAGUUCCCCCUCUGUAACCUUUCCCACUCUAAGCACUAACGUCAAGAGAGCAUCCCGCAUUACAUACCUGUUUUCUAGGCUGUAAAGGAUGCAGACUAAGUGUCGGGUGAGCUUCGAGCUCACCCGGUGCGGUAGGGAAGCCGUUAAAGCCGCCGCCUGGGUAGAACGGCCGCAAGGCUGAAACUUAAAGGAAUUGUAGGGGGAGCACUACAAGGGGUGGAGCGUGCGGUUUAAUUGGAUUCAACGCCGGUAACCUCACCGGGGGCGACGGCAGGAUGAAGGCCAGGCUGAAGGUCUUGCCGGACACGCCGAGAGGAGGUGCAUGGCCGCCGUCAGCUCGUACCGUGAGGCGUCCACUUAAGUGUGGUAACGAGCGAGACCCGCGCCCCCAGUUGCCAGCCCAUCCCGCUGGGAAGGGGGCACUCUGGGGGGACUGCCGGCGAUAAGCCGGAGGAAGGAGCGGGCGACGGUAGGUCAGUAUGCCCCGAAACCCCCGGGCUACACGCGCGCUACAAUGGGCGGGACAAUGGGAUCCGACCCCGAAAGGGGAAGGGAAUCCCCUAAACCCGCCCCCAGUUCGGAUCGCGGGCUGCAACUCGCCCGCGUGAAGCUGGAAUCCCUAGUACCCGCGUGUCAUCAUCGCGCGGCGAAUACGUCCCUGCUCCUUGCACACACCGCCCGUCACUCCACCCGAGCGGGGUCUGGAUGAGGCUCCGUCCUCUGGGCGGGGUCGAGUCCAGGCUCCGUGAGGGGGGAGAAGUCGUAACAAGGUAACCGU